RNAcentral lists this ribosomal RNA (1412 nucleotides) under bacterium NLAE-zl-P344. RNAcentral describes it as "bacterial SSU rRNA". It matches the Rfam family "Bacterial small subunit ribosomal RNA". The record is from RNAcentral.
GCUACCAUGCAAGUCGAGGGGCAGCACAGGUAGCAAUACCGGGGUGGCGACCGGCGCACGGGCGUUUUAACGCGUUAUGCAACUUACCUAUCAGAGGGGGAUAACCCGGNGAAAGUCGGACUAAUACCGCAUGAAGCAGGGGCCCCGCAUGGGGAUAUUUGCUAAAGAUUCAUCGCUGAUAGAUAGGCAUGCGUUCCAUUAGGCAGUUGGCGGGGUAACGGCCCACCAAACCGACGAUGGAUAGGGGUUCUGAGAGGAAGGUCCCCCACAUUGGUACUGAGACACGGACCAAACUCCUACGGGAGGCAGCAGUGAGGAAUAUUGGUCAAUGGGCGUAAGCCUGAACCAGCCAAGUCGCGUGAGGGAUGAAGGUUCUAUGGAUCGUAAACCUCUUUUAUAAGGGAAUAAAGUGCGGGACGUGUCCCGUUUUGUAUGUACCUUAUGAAUAAGGAUCGGCUAACUCCGUGCCAGCAGCCGCGGUAAUACGGAGGAUCCGAGCGUUAUCCGGAUUUAUUGGGUUUAAAGGGUGCGUAGGCGGCCUUUUAAGUCAGCGGUGAAAGUCUGUGGCUCAACCAUAGAAUUGCCGUUGAAACUGGGGGGCUUGAGUAUGUUUGAGGCAGGCGGAAUGCGUGGUGUAGCGGUGAAAUGCUUAGAUAUCACGCAGAACCCCGAUUGCGAAGGCAGCCUGCCAAGCCAUGACUGACGCUGAUGCACGAAAGCGUGGGGAUCAAACAGGAUUAGAUACCCUGGUAGUCCACGCAGUAAACGAUGAUCACUAGCUGUUUGCGAUACAGUGUAAGCGGCACAGCGAAAGCGUUAAGUGAUCCACCUGGGGAGUACGCCCGCAACGGUGAAACUCAAAGGAAUUGACGGGGGCCCGCACAAGCGGAGGAACAUGUGGUUUAAUUCGAUGAUACGCGAGGAACCUUACCCGGGUUUGAACGCAUUCGGACCGANGUGGAAACACAUUUUCUAGCAAUAGCCGUUUGCGAGGUGCUGCAUGGUUGUCGUCAGCUCGUGCCGUGAGGUGUCGGCUUAAGUGCCAUAACGAGCGCAACCCUUGCCACUAGUUACUAACAGGUNAUGCUGAGGACUCUGGUGGGACUGCCAGCGUAAGCUGCGAGGAAGGCGGGGAUGACGUCAAAUCAGCACGGCCCUUACAUCCGGGGCGACACACGUGUUACAAUGGCGUGGACAAAGGGAAGCCACCUGGCGACAGGGAGCGAAUCCCCAAACCACGUCUCAGUUCGGAUCGGAGUCUGCAACCCGACUCCGUGAAGCUGGAUUCGCUAGUAAUCGCGCAUCAGCCAUGGCGCGGUGAAUACGUUCCCGGGCCUUGUACACACCGCCCGUCAAGCCAUGGGAGCCGGGGGUACCUGAAGUCCGUAACCGCGAGGAUCGGCCUAGGUAAU